RNAcentral lists this ribosomal RNA (301 nucleotides) under uncultured bacterium. RNAcentral describes it as "partial 16S ribosomal RNA". It matches the Rfam family "Bacterial small subunit ribosomal RNA", at positions 509 to 808 of the family's 1533-position model. The record is from RNAcentral.
CAGCCGCCGCGGUAAUACGAAGGGGGCUAGCGCUGCUCGGAAUUACUGGGCGUAAAGGGAGCGUAGGCGGAUCGUUAAGUUGGGGGUGAAAGCCCGGGGCUCACCUCGGAAUUGCCUUCAAUACUGGCGAUCUUGAGUAUGGAAGAGGUAUGUGGAACUCCGAGUGUAGAGGUGAAAUUCGUAGAUAUUCGGAAGAACACCAGUGGCGAAGGCGACUACCUGGUCUGGCAUUAACGCUCAUGUGCGAAAGCGUGGGGAGCAAACAGGAUUAGAUACCCGCGUAGUCCCUGUCUCUUAUACA